AUGCACGCUGGCGGCGUGCCUAAUACAUGCAAGUCGCGCGAACAGACGAGGAGCUUGCUCCUCUGACGUUAGCGGCGGACGGGUGAGUAACACGUGGAUAACCUACCUAUAAGACUGGGAUAACUUCGGGAAACCGGAGCUAAUACCGGAUAAUAUAUUUAACCGCAUGGUUCAAUAGUGAAAGACGGUUUUGCUGUCACUUAUAGAUGGAUCCGCGCCGCAUUAGCUAGUUGGUAAGGUAACGGCUUACCAAGGCGACGAUGCGUAGCCGACCUGAGAGGGUGAUCGGCCACACUGGAACUGAGGCACGGUCCAGACUCCUACGGGAGGCAGCAGUAGGGAAUCUUCCGCAAUGGGCGAAAGCCUGACGGAGCAACGCCGCGUGAGUGAUGAAGGUCUUCGGAUCGUAAAACUCUGUUAUUAGGGAAGAACAAAUGUGUAAGUAACUAUGCACGUCUUGACGGUACCUAAUCAGAAAGCCACGGCUAACUACGUG
Molecule: ribosomal RNA, 496 nt
Filed under: uncultured bacterium
Lineage: Bacteria
Description: partial 16S ribosomal RNA
Rfam family: Bacterial small subunit ribosomal RNA
Source: RNAcentral